Molecule: unclassified non-coding RNA, 710 nt
Filed under: Hevea brasiliensis (rubber tree)
Lineage: Eukaryota; Viridiplantae; Streptophyta; Magnoliopsida; Malpighiales; Euphorbiaceae
Source: RNAcentral
GUUGUUGGAAGUGCUGGAAGCAAAGAAAAGGUUGAGCUUUUGAAGAACAAAUUUGGUUUCGAUGAAGCAUUUAACUAUAAAGAGGAACAAGAUUUAUCAGCAGCUUUGAAAAGGUACUUCCCAGAUGGAAUUGAUAUCUACUUUGAGAACGUUGGAGGAAAGAUGCUUGACGCGGUUCUUCUCAACAUGAGAGGCCAUGGACGAAUAGCUGUAUGUGGGAUGAUCUCACAAUACAACCUCGAGCAAAACGAAGGUGUUCACAACUUGUUCUGCCUCAUUUCAAAACGACUCCGUAUGCAAGGAUUUUUGGCUGUUGAUUACUUUCCCCUCUACAAAAAAUUUGUAGAAAUGGUUACUCCACACAUAAAAGAAGGGAAGGUAACCUAUGUGGAGGACAUAGCUGAAGGAAUUGAAAGUGCACCAGGUGCUCUAGUUGGCCUCUUCUCUGGUCGAAACGUUGGAAAACAGGUAGUGCUCGUUGCUCGUGAAUAAACUUAUCGAGUGUGUUUGAUACGAUGGAAGAUACUUUCGUCGUGUUACUAAGUACCAACAAAUAACUCUCUCAUGUUCAUCAUCAAGAUUGGAUGUGUAAUUUUCUCUAUGAUACAAACAUAUCUUAUCAAGUAUGCUAAGUUUGUAUAGACCAAAAGUUGUGUUGAGUUUGGAGUUGGUGUUGGUGAGGAUUGUUUUAUCAGUAUUUUGGACAUGAU